CGUGACCCUGGGAGCCCGGCUCAGCGCGGGGCCCGGGUACUACUGCGCAGACGUGAGGAUGUCGCGAGGGCACGUGACUGGGAUUGUGAAGCCGGCCCUGGCCGCCUGUCUUAAAUCUCUUCAGGAUUGAAACAGUGGAUCCUGGAACUCUCCUUCGCAGUCCAACGACCAAGGAAUGAAUUAUUCUUGGAAUGACACUUCGUAAAUAUAAGGUGGGCCUCAUCCAGUCCACUGGAGGCCUGAAUAGAACAAGAAAGGCUGAAGAAAGGAGAAUUCACUCCCUGCCUGACUGUCUGCCAGCUGGGACAUCAGUCUUCUCUUGCCUUAGGAGAAUGGGUUAGAAAUGUGCGGAAAUGAGUUAACAUAGCAGCCCUGACUACUAUCCUUUGAAAGUCUGGCUUACAAGAUUGGUCCUUGGUGAGUGUCUGGAUUUUGGACGGAUUUCUACCACUCAAUUGGAGAAAGAUGGAAAUAUUUUGAAGACCAUUGCAUGCCUGCAAGUCCUUCAGCAAUUGAAACCACUUUUCUGUGUCCUUUCUUUUUGCCCACCCCUCUUUAUGUUCCAGUAAUAAAUUAAUUACUACUUGUAAUUCCCUUAAAGUCCUUUACUUCCAAGACUCUGGGUCUUUGUUUAUAAUGUUUUCCUGGCCUAAAAUUUCAUUAUCCCACUACUACCAGACUAGCUGGCCUACUCCUACUCAUUUUUCAUCUCAAUUUAAACUACUCCACCAUGCUCCCAUUACUCUUAAUAAACUGAUUACACCGAGAA
This is a long non-coding RNA of Camelus dromedarius (Arabian camel), 769 nucleotides long. RefSeq lists it as uncharacterized. The record is from RefSeq and is a predicted model, not a curated record. Lineage: Eukaryota; Metazoa; Chordata; Mammalia; Artiodactyla; Camelidae. The transcript has 4 exons.